GAUGAACGCUGGCGGCGUGCCUAAUACAUGCAAGUCGAGCGAACAGACGAGGAGCUUGCUCCUCUGACGUUAGCGGCGGACGGGUGAGUAACACGUGGAUAACCUACCUAUAAGACUGGGAUAACUUCGGGAAACCGGAGCUAAUACCGGAUAAUAUAUUGAACCGCAUGGUUCAAUAGUGAAAGACGGUUUUGCUGUCACUUAUAGAUGGAUCCGCGCCGCAUUAGCUAGUUGGUAAGGUAACGGCUUACCAAGGCAACGAUGCGUAGCCGACCUGAGAGGGUGAUCGGCCACACUGGAACUGAGACACGGUCCAGACUCCUACGGGAGGCAGCAGUAGGGAAUCUUCCGCAAUGGGCGAAAGCUUGACGGAGCAACGCCGCGUGAGUGAUGAAGGUCUUCGGAUCGUAAAACUCUGUUAUUAGGGAAGAACAAAUGUGUAAGUAACUAUGCACGUCUUGACGGUACCUAAUCAGAAAGCCACGGCUAACUAAGU
Molecule: ribosomal RNA, 496 nt
Filed under: uncultured bacterium
Lineage: Bacteria
Description: partial 16S ribosomal RNA
Rfam family: Bacterial small subunit ribosomal RNA
Source: RNAcentral